Molecule: ribosomal RNA, 453 nt
Filed under: uncultured Porphyromonadaceae bacterium
Lineage: Bacteria; Pseudomonadati; Bacteroidota; Bacteroidia; Bacteroidales; Porphyromonadaceae
Description: partial 16S ribosomal RNA
Rfam family: Bacterial small subunit ribosomal RNA
Source: RNAcentral
ACGGAAGGCAGCAGUGAGGAAUAUUGGUCAAUGGGCGGAAGCCUGAACCAGCCAAGUCGCGUGAAGGAUGAAGGUAUUAUGUAUUGUAAACUUCUUUAGUCGUAGAGAAAUAAGGUGCUCGUGAGCACUGAUGCUAGUAUACGAAGAAUAAGGAUCGGCUAACUCCGUGCCAGCAGCCGCGGUAAUACGGAGGAUCCGAGCGUUAUCCGGAUUUAUUGGGUUUAAAGGGUGCGCAGGCGGCUUUUUAAGUCAGUGGUCAAAUCGUGGGGCUCAACCCCAUCCCGCCAUUGAUACUGGAGAGCUUGAUUGCGGUCGAGGUUGGCGGAAUUCGUCGUGUAGCGGUGAAAUGCAUAGAUAUGACGAAGAACACCGAUUGCGUAGGCAGCUGACCAGACCGUAAAUGACGCUCAUGCACGAAAGUGCGGGGAUCGAACAGGAUUAGAUACCCUGGUA